Erinaceus europaeus (western European hedgehog) is the source of this 31-nucleotide non-coding RNA. The record is from Rfam. NCBI's taxonomy places the organism in Eukaryota, Metazoa, Chordata, Mammalia, Eulipotyphla, Erinaceidae.
UGAUUAUCGGGGGCAGUGUCUCCCAUAAUCC